AUGCAUCGGAAUGUACCGUGUAAUGGGGGAUAGCUCGGCGAAAGCCGGAUUAAUACCGCAUACGCCCUGAGGGGGAAAGCGGGGGACCGAAAGGCCUCGCGUUAUACGAGCAGCCGAUGUCUGAUUAGCUAGUUGGUGAGGUAAGAGCUCACCAAGGCGACGAUCAGUAGCGGGUCUGAGAGGAUGAUCCGCCACACUGGGACUGAGACACGGCCCAGACUCCUACGGGAG
This 231-nucleotide ribosomal RNA is filed under the name Chromobacterium sinusclupearum. Its description in RNAcentral is "Chromobacterium sp. MWU13-2610 partial 16S ribosomal RNA". It matches the Rfam family "Bacterial small subunit ribosomal RNA", at positions 113 to 347 of the family's 1533-position model. The record is from RNAcentral. Lineage: Bacteria; Pseudomonadati; Pseudomonadota; Betaproteobacteria; Neisseriales; Chromobacteriaceae.